This 160-nucleotide ribosomal RNA is filed under the name Apios carnea. Its description in RNAcentral is "partial 5.8S ribosomal RNA". It matches the Rfam family "5.8S ribosomal RNA". Rfam says of the family: 5.8S ribosomal RNA (5.8S rRNA) is a component of the large subunit of the eukaryotic ribosome. It is transcribed by RNA polymerase I as part of the 45S precursor that also contains 18S and 28S rRNA. The record is from RNAcentral. Lineage: Eukaryota; Viridiplantae; Streptophyta; Magnoliopsida; Fabales; Fabaceae.
AUACAAUGACUCUCGGCAACGGAUAUCUCGGCUCUUGCAUCGAUGAAGAACGUAGCGAAAUGCGAUACUUGGUGUGAAUUGCAGAAUCCCGUGAACCAUCGAGUCUUUGAACGCAAGUUGCGCCCGAAGCCAUUAGGUUGAGGGCACGCCUGCCUGGGUG